CUGCCAUCUGUUCACCCACAAAAGAAAGUCAGAUUAGGGCUGAAUAGAAUAAAAUGUAUCUCCAAAUGGGAUACAGAGGUAACAAAAAUUGGAAUCACUUCAGAAACAAGAGCUUUCAUAAUUCGACAAAUUUCAGUUUCUCUACUUGAUACGUUGAUUGUCUGAUUUUUUUGUUACUACUUUAACGUGCUACAUAUUCACUCAGCCUGAUUGCUCCACUUUGAAGGAUCAACAACAUUGGAACCAGCAGCACAACUUAAGAUAUCUUUAACCUGGUGAAACUUUAGCAAAAUCAGUGCUACUUCACUGGGAGACAGUUGAAUCAGAGCCAUAGAUCGUGAACACAGGGAUGAUGGGUGAACAGGACUUGAGCGGCCACAGUUCAAAUGAUUGCAGCAGAGCGCGGCGGGAGCCGGGCAUAAGUGAAGUCGGAGCAGAGAGGCAGUUGGGAUGUUGUGCAGUCAAAUAGCAAUCUGAAGUACCAGCCGGGCUAUACAAAACUAAUUCCAGUGCAAGCACGGCCACAGGAAGAACUUUACAGUGCAAAGCACCCAUGCCAAAAACAUGAGAGGAAUGUUGUUUAUGGACUGCCAAAUUGCAGCACUAGGAUAAAGUGCAGAAGCUAUUUUAAAAAAGUUUAAAGUCUAUUUUAUUUUUAUUUCAGCUUUUACCUUUAUGA
This is a long non-coding RNA of Stegostoma tigrinum, 679 nucleotides long. RefSeq lists it as uncharacterized. Lineage: Eukaryota; Metazoa; Chordata; Chondrichthyes; Orectolobiformes; Stegostomatidae. The record is from RefSeq and is a predicted model, not a curated record. The transcript has 4 exons.